RNAcentral lists this non-coding RNA (23 nucleotides) under Arabidopsis thaliana (thale cress). Lineage: Eukaryota; Viridiplantae; Streptophyta; Magnoliopsida; Brassicales; Brassicaceae. The record is from RNAcentral.
UGUGUGAUGAUGUGUCAUUUAUA